RNAcentral lists this unclassified non-coding RNA (316 nucleotides) under plant metagenome. RNAcentral's name for it is "partial contains 5.8S ribosomal RNA, internal transcribed spacer 2, and large subunit ribosomal RNA". The stretch from base 1 to 105 matches the Rfam family "5.8S ribosomal RNA", at positions 50 to 154 of the family's 154-position model. The record is from RNAcentral.
GAAAUGCGAUAACUAAUGUGAAUUGCAGAAUUCAGUGAAUCAUCGAGUCUUUGAACGCACAUUGCGCCCCCUGGUAUUCCGGGGGGCAUGCCUGUCCGAGCGUCAUUGCUGCCCUCAAGCCCGGCUUGUGUGUUGGGUCGCCGUCCCCCUCUCCGGGGGGACGGGCCCGAAAGGCAGCGGCGGCACCGCGUCCGAUCCUCGAGCGUAUGGGGCUUUGUCACAUGCUCUGUAGGAUUGGCCGGCGCCUGCCGACGUUUUCCAACCAUUCUUUCCAGGUUGACCUCGGAUCUGGUAGGGAUACCCGCUGAACUUAAGC